Molecule: unclassified non-coding RNA, 377 nt
Filed under: uncultured Thermoleophilia bacterium
Lineage: Bacteria; Bacillati; Actinomycetota; Thermoleophilia
Description: contains 16S-23S intergenic spacer region
Source: RNAcentral
UCCGGUUUGUCACCGGCAGUCUCCCAUGAGUCCCCAACCAAAUGAUGGCAACUAAGGGCGAGGGUUGCGCUCGUUGCGGGACUUAACCCAACAUCUCACGACACGAGCUGACGACAGCCAUGCGGCACCUGUCUCGGCGUCCCCGAAGGGAACCCGGCAUCUCUGCCGGUAGCACCGGAUGUCAAGGGCAGGUAAGGUUCUUCGCGUUGCGUCGAAUUAAACCACAUGCUCCGCUGCUUGUGCGGGCCCCCGUCAAUUCCUUUGAGUUUCAGCCUUGCGGCCGUACUCCCCAGGCGGGGCACUUAAUGCGUUAGCUCCGGCACGGGAGGAGUCGACACCUCCCACACCUAGUGCCCAUCGUUUACGGCGUGGACUAC